This is a long non-coding RNA of Passer domesticus (house sparrow), 527 nucleotides long. RefSeq lists it as uncharacterized. Lineage: Eukaryota; Metazoa; Chordata; Aves; Passeriformes; Passeridae. The transcript has 5 exons. The record is from RefSeq and is a predicted model, not a curated record.
GGUAUGUUCUCACUGUCCCACCAAGGCGUAAUGUUUGACUGACUGGUAAGAACCAGGUGACAGAAGCUUCUGUGGCUGUUGUGUUACAGGCGUGUCUGCAGGGACGACCUCACCAACUCCUACCUUGGAUGCUGCACAAAAGGCCAGCUCCCAUGGCAGGGGUCCUCUGUCAGGAAAGACCAAAGACAUGGCAGGCAGGAAAUUCCAGGACCCAUUAGAAAUCAUGUGGCAAAUGCUGAAGGAACGUCUGCAGAGAAGACAAGAAAUGAAAGGAGAGCCUGCGGAGAAAGAAGCAUUUCCCGGAGGAAGCAGUGGUUGCAUGCCAGCCUCAGCUCCAGGAAGGGAGGCCAUGCCAGGCACAGGCACAGGAGAUGAGGGUGCUGGGAAGGCUUCUCCAUCAGCUUGGAUGAAGAAAGUUUUGAAGCCCUUGGAGCCUCCUGCAGAUGUGUCUACAGGGAAGACUUCUCCAGCUUCUCCAGCUGCUACCUUGGAUGCUGCACUCAAGCCCAGCUCCCAUCUCAGGGGUG